GUGGGGAAUAUUGGACAAUGGGGGGAACCCUGAUCCAGCCAUGCCGCGUGUGUGAAGAAGGCCUUUUGGUUGUAAAGCACUUUAAGCGAGGAGGAGGCUACCGAGAUUAAUACUCUUGGAUAGUGGACGUUACUCGCAGAAUAAGCACCGGCUAACUCUGUGCCAGCAGCCGCGGUAAUACAGAGGGUGCAAGCGUUAAUCGGAUUUACUGGGCGUAAAGCGCGCGUAGGUGGCCAAUUAAGUCAAAUGUGAAAUCCCCGAGCUUAACUUGGGAAUUGCAUUCGAUACUGGUUGGCUAGAGUAGGGGAGAGGAUGGUAGAAUUCCAGGUGUAGCGGUGAAAUGCGUAGAGAUCUGGAGGAAUACCGAUGGCGAAGGCAGCCAUCUGGCCUAAUACUGACACUGAGGUGCGAAAGCAUGGGGAGCAAACAGGAUUAGAAACCCCUGUAGUCC
RNAcentral lists this ribosomal RNA (451 nucleotides) under uncultured bacterium. RNAcentral's name for it is "partial 16S ribosomal RNA". It matches the Rfam family "Bacterial small subunit ribosomal RNA", at positions 354 to 796 of the family's 1533-position model. The record is from RNAcentral.